CAGUCGCCGCGGGAAUACGAAGGGUGCGAGCGUUAAUCGGAAUUACUGGGCGUAAAGCGUGCGCAGGCGGUUGUGUAAGACAGGUGUGAAAUCCCCGGGCUUAACCUGGGAACUGCGCUUGUGACUGCACAGCUAGAGUAUGGCAGAGGGGGGUGGAAUUCCACGUGUAGCAGUGAAAUGCGUAGAGAUGUGGAGGAACACCGAUGGCGAAGGCAGCCCCCUGGGCCAAUACUGACGCUCAUGCACGAAAGCGUGGGGAGCAAACAGGAUUAGAUACCCCCGUAGUCCCUGUCUCUUAUAC
This 301-nucleotide ribosomal RNA is filed under the name uncultured bacterium. RNAcentral's name for it is "partial 16S ribosomal RNA". It matches the Rfam family "Bacterial small subunit ribosomal RNA", at positions 509 to 807 of the family's 1533-position model. The record is from RNAcentral.